AGCCAGCAUGGUACAAUGGCUUGAGUGUUCAACUAGGAUUCUGGAGACCAGGGUUCAAAUCCCUGCUUGGCUA
Non-coding RNA from Phrynosoma platyrhinos (Desert horned lizard), 73 nucleotides. The record is from the annotation of a GenBank genome assembly. Lineage: Eukaryota; Metazoa; Chordata; Lepidosauria; Squamata; Phrynosomatidae.